RNAcentral lists this long non-coding RNA (239 nucleotides) under Elaeis guineensis (African oil palm). Its description in RNAcentral is "long non-coding RNA (EGUI_LNC029731)". The record is from RNAcentral. Lineage: Eukaryota; Viridiplantae; Streptophyta; Magnoliopsida; Arecales; Arecaceae.
UGGAGAAAAGGCCCAAAAAUAGGGUAUUUGAGCCGUUCUUGGCUUUUCUUCGAUAGCCGUUCACCAACAACUAUGAUCUCACCGUGGAGGGUCAUAAGGAGGCUGAGGUCCCUAGCUUAGGAUCCGGCUUCAAGGAACGGCAAUGCUGGCGAUCGAAAAAGGCCAGUGGCUAUGAUCUCAUCAGUUGGCAAAGCCGGUGGCCAGCAGUGGUGCCCAAAGCCAUAGGAAGAAGGGGAGGA